CCCUCAUUACUUGGCCUCCCAUAACUAGGCCUCCUCGGUGGCUCCUCCACCUCCGGACUCUCGUAGCUCGGCCUCCCAUACUGUGGCUUCCUGGGGGACCCUUCCCCACCAUAACCAUACCCGCCACCUUGUUCCUCUCCGAAGCUAGGUUUCCGACCGUACCCAGAUCCAUAUUCAGAACUCGGUGCUUCGUACUCAGGCCUCCGACCAUACCCAGAUCCAUACUCCGAACUGGGCUGCUCGAACUCGGGCCUCCGACCAUACCCAGAUCCAUACUCCGAACUAGGUUGCUCGUAUUCAGGCUUCCGACCGUACCCAGAUCCAUAUUCCGUGCUAGGCUGUUCGUAUUCAGGCUUCCGACCGUACCCAGAUCCAUAUUCCGAGCUAGGCUGUUCGUAUUCAGGCUUCCGACCGUACCCAGAUCCAUAUUCCGAGCUAGGCUGUUCGUAUUCAGGCUUCCGACCGUAGCCAGAUCCAUAUUCCGAGCUAGGCUGUUCGCAUUCAGGCUUCCGACCGUACCCGGAUCCGUACUCCGAACUGGGUUCCUCGUAAUCAGGCUUCCGCCCAUGCCCAGAUCCAUACUCACCCUCCCCACCAAAACUCGACGGCGGCUUCGGCUGAUACCCAUACUCACCACCAUCACCACUGCCUCCGAACCCUCCUUGGCCAGGAGGUGGUCCGGCGUAACCAAGGACCGGACGAGGCUUGGGACGAGCAUAGCUCUUGUAUUCAUUCUCAAGAGCUUCAUCACC
RNAcentral lists this long non-coding RNA (752 nucleotides) under Vitis vinifera (wine grape). RNAcentral's name for it is "long non-coding RNA (VVIN_LNC004905)". The record is from RNAcentral. Lineage: Eukaryota; Viridiplantae; Streptophyta; Magnoliopsida; Vitales; Vitaceae.